Molecule: ribosomal RNA, 490 nt
Filed under: Monolistra sketi
Lineage: Eukaryota; Metazoa; Arthropoda; Malacostraca; Isopoda; Sphaeromatidae
Description: partial 16S ribosomal RNA
Rfam family: Bacterial large subunit ribosomal RNA
Source: RNAcentral
GCAAAAACAUCGUCUGAAAUUAUUUUAGAUAUAAUCUGCCCACUGAUUAUUUAAAUGGCCGCAGUAUCUUGACUGUGCUAAGGUAGCAUAAUCAUUAGUCUUUUAAUUGAAGACUUGUAUAAACGAUCUGACGAGAAAUAAACUGUCUUUAUUAUUUUCAGUUAAUUUACCUUUAAGGUAAAAAGGCCUUAAAAUCUUAGAAUGACAACAAGACCCUAUAAAAUUUUAUUUUAAAUUUUACAAAAAAAAAUUGUAAGAGUUCUAUAAAUUUCAAUUUAAAAUUAAGCUGGGGCGGCUAUUAAUUAAACGUUAACAUAUAUAACAUAUUGAAUGAAAAAAUUUAACCUAAAUUUAAAAAUAAAAACAAAUUACUUUAGGGAUAACAGCGCAAUAUUAUUUUAGAGCUCUUAUCGACAGUAAUGCUUGCGACCUCGAUGUUGAAUUGAAAUACCUACCUAGAGCAGCCUCUAGACCAGGAAGUCUGUUCGAC